UAAGGUCACGGUGAGACCAGCCGUUUUUUUUUUCAAUAGGUGUCAAGUGUAAAUGCAGCGAUGCACACAGCAUAGGCAUCCUAACAGACCGAUAUAUUUGAAC
RNAcentral lists this ribosomal RNA (103 nucleotides) under Arachnitis uniflora. RNAcentral's name for it is "4.5S ribosomal RNA". Lineage: Eukaryota; Viridiplantae; Streptophyta; Magnoliopsida; Liliales; Corsiaceae. The record is from RNAcentral.